Molecule: ribosomal RNA, 497 nt
Filed under: uncultured bacterium
Lineage: Bacteria
Description: partial 16S ribosomal RNA
Rfam family: Bacterial small subunit ribosomal RNA
Source: RNAcentral
GAUGAACGCUGGCGGCGUGCCUAAUACAUGCAAGUCGAGCGAACAGACGAUGAGCUUGCUCCUCUGACGUUAGCGGCGGACGUGUGAGUAACACGUGGAUAACCUACCUAUAUUUCUUGUAUAACUUCGUGAAACCGGAGCUAAUACCGGAUAAUAUAUUUAACCGCAUUGUUCAAUAGUUAAAUACGGUUUUUCUGUCUCUUUUAGAUGGUUCCGCGCCGCAUUAGCUAGUUUGUAAGUUAACGGCUUACCAAGGCAACGAUGCGUAGCCGACCUGAGAGGGUGAUAGGCAAAAGUGGAAGUGAGACAAGGACAAGACACCUACGGGAGGCAGAAGUAGGGAAGAUGCCGCAAUGGGCGAAAGCAUGACGGAGGAACGCAGAGUGAGUGAUGAAGGUAUUAGGAUCGUAAAAAUCUGUUAUUAGGGAAGAAAAAAUGUGGAAGUAAAUAAGCACGUAGUGAAGGUAACUAAAAAGAAAGCAACGGCUAACUACGUG